RNAcentral lists this long non-coding RNA (210 nucleotides) under Panax ginseng (ginseng). RNAcentral describes it as "long non-coding RNA (PGIN_LNC017423)". Lineage: Eukaryota; Viridiplantae; Streptophyta; Magnoliopsida; Apiales; Araliaceae. The record is from RNAcentral.
AUCAAUCAACUUUUCAAGAUUAGUCUAGCUGAGAUAAAACUGGCAUCGACCCUUUAGUAAAACACUUCAUGCAUCUCAUAACAUGAAUCACCGAAAACUUGGCUAACACGUAGGUUAGACAAGCGUUUAAGAAAAACUUGCCUUCAACGUCUGCUACAGUAAAAAUAACUUUUCCUUCCAGUCUUUACGGUCUCUACAAUACAUAACCAC